GAUGAACGCUAGCGGCAGGCCUAAUACAUGCAAGUCGGACGGGAUUUGGGAGCUUGCUCCUAAUGAGAGUGGCGCACGGGUGCGUAACACGUAUGUAACCUACCUUAGUCAGGGGGAUAGCCUCUCGAAAGAGAGAUUAAGACCGCAUAACAUUAUUGAGUGGUAUCAUUUAAUAAUCAAAUAUUUAUAGGACUAAGAUGGGCAUGCGGAACAUUAGCUAGUUGGUAGGGUAACGGCCUACCAAGGCUACGAUGUUUAGGGGAUCUGAGAGGAUGGCCACCCACACUGGUACUGAGACACGGACCAGACUCCUACGGGAGGCAGCAGUAAGGAAUAUUGGUCAAUGGGCGGAAGCCUGAACCAGCCAUGCCGCGUGCAGGAAGACGGCCCUACGGGUUGUAAACUGCUUUUAUACGGGAAUAAACCUACUUACGUGUAAGUAGCUGAAUGUACUGUAAGAAUAAGGAUCGGCUAACUCCGUGCCAGCCGCCGCGGUAA
This 498-nucleotide ribosomal RNA is filed under the name uncultured bacterium. Its description in RNAcentral is "partial 16S ribosomal RNA". It matches the Rfam family "Bacterial small subunit ribosomal RNA", at positions 28 to 523 of the family's 1533-position model. The record is from RNAcentral.